RNAcentral lists this ribosomal RNA (594 nucleotides) under Leucopaxillus laterarius. RNAcentral describes it as "eukaryotic LSU rRNA". It matches the Rfam family "Eukaryotic large subunit ribosomal RNA", at positions 77 to 651 of the family's 3401-position model. Lineage: Eukaryota; Fungi; Basidiomycota; Agaricomycetes; Agaricales; Tricholomataceae. The record is from RNAcentral.
CCCCUAGUAACUGCGAGUGAAGCGGGAAAAGCUCAAAUUUAAAAUCUGGCAGCUUUGCUGUCCGAGUUGUAAUCUAGAGAAGUGUUAUCCGCGCUGGACCGUGUACAAGUCUCCUGGAAUGGAGCGUCAUAGAGGGUGAGAAUCCCGUCUUUGACACGGACUACCAGGGCUUAUGUGAUGCGCUCUCAAAGAGUCGAGUUGUUUGGGAAUGCAGCUCUAAAUGGGUGGUAAAUUCCAUCUAAAGCUAAAUAUUGGCGAGAGACCGAUAGCGAACAAGUACCGUGAGGGAAAGAUGAAAAGAACUUUGGAAAGAGAGUUAAACAGUACGUGAAAUUGUUGAAAGGGAAACGCUUGAAGUCAGUCAUGUUGCCCAAGGAUCAACCUUGCUCUUUUGCUUGGUGUACUUCUUGGAUCGACAGGUCAGCAUCAAUUUUGAUCGAUGGAUAAAGUUCAGAGGAAUGUGGCAUCUUCGGAUGUGUUAUAGCCUCUGUCCGUAUACAUCGGUUGGGAUUGAGGAACUCAGCAUGCCGCAAGGCCAGGUUUUUAAACCAUGUUCAUGCUUAGGAUGCUGGCAUAAUGGCUUUAAUCGACCCG